GUUGGUGAACCAGCGGAGGGAUCAUUACUGAGUUGUAAAACUCCAAACCCACUGUGAACCUUACCUAAAUUAUAAAUGCUUCGGCGGGCAGCUCCAGGGCGGAGCUGUAGCCUGUAAAGGCGCCCGCCGGAGGUAUCAAACCCUUCUAUAUUUUAGCACUAUUCUGAGUCAAAUCAUAAUAAGUCAAAACUUUCAGCAACGGAUCUCUUGGUUCUG
RNAcentral lists this unclassified non-coding RNA (216 nucleotides) under rhizosphere metagenome. RNAcentral describes it as "partial ribosomal RNA internal transcribed spacer region". The record is from RNAcentral.